AAUAAGUGUAGUUUUAUACUAUUUACGUUUAACGUUUGACCGUUCGUCUUAUUUGAAAAUUUUUUAUGAUUAGUAUUUUUAUUACUAUUAGAUGAUAAAACGUGAAUAAUACUUUAUGUGCGACUAAAUAUUUUUAAAUUUUUCAUAAAUUUUUUAAAUAAGACGGACGGUCAAACGUUGGACACGGAUAUCCACAAUUGUACUUAUU
Molecule: non-coding RNA, 208 nt
Organism: Oryza glumipatula
Lineage: Eukaryota; Viridiplantae; Streptophyta; Magnoliopsida; Poales; Poaceae
Source: Rfam